Molecule: ribosomal RNA, 253 nt
Filed under: uncultured bacterium
Lineage: Bacteria
Description: partial 16S ribosomal RNA
Rfam family: Bacterial small subunit ribosomal RNA
Source: RNAcentral
UACGUAGGGGGCAAGCGUUGUCCGGAUUCAUUGGGCGUAAAGAGCGUGUAGGCGGCCAGGUAGGUCGGUUGUGAAAACUGGAGGCUCAACCUUCAGAGGUCGACCGAAACCAUCUGGCUAGAGUCCGGGAGAGGUGAGUGGAACUGCGAGUGUAGAGGUGAAAUUCGUAGAUAUUCGCAAGAACACCAGUGGCGAAGGCGGCUCACUGGCCCGGUACUGACGCUGAGGUGCGAAAGCGUGGGGAGCAAACAGG